This 522-nucleotide ribosomal RNA is filed under the name uncultured bacterium. RNAcentral's name for it is "partial 16S ribosomal RNA". It matches the Rfam family "Bacterial small subunit ribosomal RNA", at positions 355 to 892 of the family's 1533-position model. The record is from RNAcentral.
UGGGGAACAUUGGACAAUGGGCGCAAGCCUGAUCCAGCCAUGCCGCGUGAGUGAUGAAGGCCUUAGGGUGUAAAGCUCUUUCGCCGACGAAGAUAAUGACGGUAGUCGGAGAAGAAGCCCCGGCUAACUUCGUGCCAGCAGCCGCGGUAAUACGAAGGGGGCUAGCGUUGUUCGGAAUCACUGGGCGUAAAGCGCACGUAGGCGGAUUGUUAAGUCAGGGGUGAAAGCCUGGAGCUCAACUCCAGAACUGCCCUUGAUACUGGCAAUCUCGAGUCCCGGAAGAGGGUAAGUGGAACUGCGAGUGUAGAGGUGAAAUUCGUAGAUAUUCGCAAGGAACACCAGUGGCGAAGGCGGCUUACUGGUCCGGUACUGACGCUGAGGUGCGAAAAGCGUGGGGGAGCAAACAGGAUUAGAUACCCUGGUAGUCCACGCCGUAAACGAUGGAGGCUAGCCGUUGGCGAGCAUGCUCGUCAGUGGCGCAGCUAACGCAUUAAGCUCCCGCCUGGGGAGUACGGUCGCAAG